Molecule: unclassified non-coding RNA, 2191 nt
Filed under: Venturia canescens
Lineage: Eukaryota; Metazoa; Arthropoda; Insecta; Hymenoptera; Ichneumonidae
Description: protein NDRG3, transcript variant X8
Source: RNAcentral
GCCUCGACAGCUUGAACGAAAGAGCUUAGUGACCAGUUCGUCGAGUGCUCCGCGUAUACGUUGAAUGUAGAAAUAUUCAUCUCGUUCUCGCCCCUCUCUAUUCGACUCGUUUCGUAGCGGUCCCCCACUCCGUUUUGAGGGAGAGACAUUUACUCAUCGCCACAUUGUAAAAGCGCCUGCUGUAUCAACUGUCAGAUUUUCAUAAUACCAAACUAUCAUUCAUAAACCGUUUUACGCGUUCGAAUCGCAUUUACCUAAACGCCGUUACCGCGAGCGUUUCUCAUCGAUUAGAGCCAGCUCUCCGUUUUAUCGUAAACCGCGUUAAACUGCAACUUUUCUUCGGCUCUACGGGUCUUCAGCGAUCCACCAAUUCGGCGCGAGUUUUCAGCCCGAAAAAAUCAAGAGAUAAGCAGUGGGAGCUGCGAUUCGUCGGCGCGUUCCUCGAGACAUCGACCUCGAGGUCGUUGCUGACUGGCUAGGAGGGUCGAUCGUUACCAGUAGUAGGAGCAACAUCAAUAAAACGAGAGUCAUCGGGAAGGAGAGAGAAGAUCCGACACAUCGGGCACGAGAUUUAGCAGGUCCAAAUACUAGAUAGAAAUUCGAAGAAGAGCCCUCUCCGAUAGGAAUUUCAAAUACGCCAGUCGGAAAAGUGUCGAGGAUCGUGAAGCGGUGACCAGAAAUAAUCGCCAUGCCGGCAGGUAUUGGCGCUUCGUACAGGUCGCUAGGCGACCUAGGCGAAGACGUUUACAAAAGCACGACUAUCGUCGAUCAGACCCAGACCACGGGACAGAGCGUCCUGGAGAGUGUUAAAAAGGCCUUCAGUUUCGCCUCGCCGAAGGUCGAGUUGAGGAAGAAGGAUCCAUUGAUCGAGGACAGACGGGAGAGCGUCUCGAUAGUUUCCAGGGAAAGAAACAAGAUGCCAACAGCUGCAACCGCCGAGGAAUCUGCUCUUCUGGGCACGAUGCCUUCCGACAGUAUGGACGAUAUCGAACUGAAAAACAUUCAGCUACAGUUUCCAGCACUGAGAUAUCUCACCAGGGACGACGGCUCCGUCAGGGAGGAACGGGUGGAAACCGAUAAGGGCAGUUUGCUCGUUGCUGUCCAAGGAAAUCGGGCGAAACCUGCCAUUCUCACUUACCACGAUUUAGGCCUUAACUACAUUUCGAGCUUCCAAGCGUUCUUCAAUUACAUCGACAUGCGCGUUUUACUUGAAAACUUUUGCGUCUAUCACGUAAAUGCACCUGGACAAGAGGAAGGAGCUCCGACGUUACCCGAAGAUUACAUCUAUCCAACGAUGGACGAGUUGGCGGAACAAUUGCUUUUCGUUCUCGGACACUUUGGUCUGAAAUCAGUAAUUGGCUUCGGUGUGGGCGCCGGUGCCAACAUCCUGGCGCGUUUUUCGCUCGCUCACUCGGAAAAAGUCAAUGCGCUGUGCUUGAUCAACUGCGUCUCGACGCAAGCGGGAUGGAUCGAAUGGGGCUAUCAGAAGCUGAACGUUCGUCAUCUGAGAUCACAGGGCAUGACUCAAGGUGUUUUGGACUACUUGAUGUGGCAUCACUUUGGCAGGGGAACCUUGGAGAGAAAUCACGAUCUCGUGCAAGUCUACACCAAUUACUUCGAGCGUCGCGUCAAUCCGACAAAUCUCGCUCUCUUCAUCGACAGCUAUGUGCGCCGUACAGAUCUCAAUAUCGUUAGGGAAUUGGACCCCACACGUAAGAAGGACGGAUCGACCCUUGGCGUUCCGGUUAUCAAUAUAACUGGAUCGUUGAGCCCACACGUCGACGAUACUGUCACUCUCAACGGACGUCUCGACCCGACCAACAGCUCUUGGAUGAAGAUAUCCGAUUGUGGUAUGGUAUUGGAAGAACAGCCAGGGAAAGUGAGCGAAGCAUUCCGACUCUUUCUCCAGGGGGAAGGAUAUGUGGUGAGAUCCCCGCGGAAGACUCUGACGUCGACAACACCCGAAGGUAAUUGUAAUUAGGAAUUGAGGGCACCAAGGAGUCGAACACGCUGUUGGUCAAAAUUUUAAGGCCAAAAUCCUCUAAAUGUUAAUUGCCCCGCUCUCGCCAUUGAAAAUGGCCGAUUACCGGCUAGCAUCUCUCGAAGGCCUUAAUCACAUCUGCAGCAAAAAAAUCGACUGGCCUACAGCGACUAUUCAUAUUACCGAAAAUCCCAUAUCGGAAGCCGUCGU